Molecule: ribosomal RNA, 919 nt
Filed under: uncultured bacterium
Lineage: Bacteria
Description: bacterial SSU rRNA
Rfam family: Bacterial small subunit ribosomal RNA
Source: RNAcentral
AUGGUAAGCCAGAUGUGAAAGCCUGGGGCUUAACNCGAGGAUUGCAUUUGGAACUAUCAAGCUAGAGUACAGGAGAGGAAAGCGGAAUUCCUAGUGUAGCGGUGAAAUGCGUAGAUAUUAGGAAGAACACCAGUGGCGAAGGCGGCUUUCUGGACUGAAACUGACGCUGAGGCUCGAAAGCGUGGGGAGCAAACAGGAUUAGAUACCCUGGUAGUCCACGCCGUAAACGAUGAGUGCUAGGUGUCGGGGAGGAAUCCUCGGUGCCGCAGCUAACGCAAUAAGCACUCCACCUGGGGAGUACGACCGCAAGGUUGAAACUCAAAGGAAUUGACGGGGGCCCGCACAAGCGGUGGAGCAUGUGGUUUAAUUCGAAGCAACGCGAAGAACCUUACCAAGGCUUGACAUCCCGAUGACCGUCCUAGAGAUAGGACUUCUCUUCGGAGCAUCGGUGACAGGUGGUGCAUGGUUGUCGUCAGCUCGUGUCGUGAGAUGUUGGGUUAAGUCCCGCAACGAGCGCAACCCUUAUCUUCAGUAGCCAUCAUUCAGUUGGGCACUCUGGAGAGACUGCCGUGGAUAACACGGAGGAAGGUGGGGAUGACGUCAAAUCAUCAUGCCCCUUAUGUCUUGGGCUACACACGUGCUACAAUGGCUGGUAACAAAGUGACGCAAAACGGCGACGUUAAGCAAAUCACAAAAACCCAGUCCCAGUUCGGAUUGUAGUCUGCAACUCGACUACAUGAAGCUGGAAUCGCUAGUAAUCGCGAAUCAGCAUGUCGCGGUGAAUACGUUCCCGGGCCUUGUACACACCGCCCGUCACACCAUGGGAGAUGGAAGCACCCGAAGUCGGUGACCUAACCGUAAGGAAGGAGCCGCCGAAGGUGAAGCCAGUGACUGGGGUGAAGUCGUAACAAGGUAACCA